AAGAAAAAAGGUGAAAGGUGAGAGAGGAGGGCGAGACAGAGACGGGAUUUAUAAAAGAAGAAGCAGGGAAAGCAAAUGAGAAUGGGCGGAGAGUUUGAGGAACGCAAGAGCCAACUGCAAACGAGCUAUUUGGACCAGCUUCUCUGUGUUUUCAGCUUUGGGCGAUUUAUUUGAUGUUGAAACUCUCCCUCUGGCCGCAAUCCACAUUGUUUCCAUCGCCACACAACUCUCUUCUUCA
RNAcentral lists this unclassified non-coding RNA (238 nucleotides) under Hevea brasiliensis (rubber tree). Lineage: Eukaryota; Viridiplantae; Streptophyta; Magnoliopsida; Malpighiales; Euphorbiaceae. The record is from RNAcentral.